CCUGGCGACUAUAGCGAUUUGGAACCACCUGAUACCAUCUCGAACUCAGAAGUGAAACAUUUCCGCGCCAAUGAUAGUGUGAGGCUUCCUCAUGCGAAAGUAGGUCAUCGCCAGGGUUUUA
Molecule: ribosomal RNA, 121 nt
Filed under: Legionella pneumophila 2300/99 Alcoy
Lineage: Bacteria; Pseudomonadati; Pseudomonadota; Gammaproteobacteria; Legionellales; Legionellaceae
Source: RNAcentral